RNAcentral lists this microRNA precursor (92 nucleotides) under Canis lupus familiaris (dog). RNAcentral describes it as "mir-8799 microRNA precursor family". It matches the Rfam family "mir-8799 microRNA precursor family". The record is from Rfam by way of RNAcentral. RNAcentral also lists the same sequence under 1 other name. Lineage: Eukaryota; Metazoa; Chordata; Mammalia; Carnivora; Canidae.
GGGGGGAGCCCUGGAUCCUGUUAUGUGUCCCCUGUGCCCUGGGUUCCGAGGCCUGCGCUGCUGGAAUCACGCUCCCGGCCAUGCAGCCCCCU